GUUUAGAUUCAGCCCGGUUUUCCCCUCAUCUCCUCUUCCUACCAUAAAUAAUAAUAAAAAUACAUAAUGCAUCACGGCUUCAGGCGUUUUCCAGCGCGGUGUGUUACCGCAGGAGUAUCUGCUGAGUCUGCGGGUGUCUGCAAGGCCCCAAGUGUCAUCUGCGGCUUAGGGUUUCAUGGAUUAGAUUUUAAACGGUGUCUGGCCCAGUUGACAUCAGCCUCCUCGCACGCUCAGGCUCCAAAGAAUCGCGGGCUUGGGAGCUCCCUCUCCAAGCAGCUGCAGCUGCCCCAAAGCACCCCCUCGCUAGCAGAGUGGGAGUCCUCUCCCACCUCUGGAGAAAGGUUCCCCGAGGCUUCCGGGAGCGACUCGGAUGGAUGCGUUCCAGCCUCUGGCGUGAGCGUCAUGUGAUGACCACACUCGGUCGUUCAGGGCGCGAGUGGGGGCGGCGGCCAGUCUGGGAAGGCCCUUCCCGCGCGGCCGACAGCCAGGGCGAGAGCGGAGGCCGCGCACAGCCAUUUAAAACUGCAUGAAUUAUAAACAAGCCGCCUUGGCCUUCGCCAUAAAUUCUGCUCUUUUUGAGCCUGCAAUUAGUGUUAGGAAGCACCGGAGUCUAAACACAACCAAACACCCUCUGAAGGGCCCAAGUGCCCGAGGUUGCAAAGCUUUAUUUAUUUCUCAUUGCCACCCCCUCCGCGGCCCGAGGUUUGCGACCACAGUCUCCUCCUCCCCCGUCACCGCCGGCGGUACGCAGCCGGCUGGGUUCCCGCUCCGCGAGGGAAGGUCACAAUAGCUGCUCUAUCGGCGGAGGCGCCCGCCUCCCCCCUCUCGGGUCUCGGGAAGGCAGAGAAAGGACGGUGGGGGAGGGGAGCUCGGGCCGGCAAUGGCGCCCCAGGCCCAGGCAGCUCCUUCUCCCGCGGAGGACCUGCAGCGGGAAGAGGCACGUCUGCAGCGGAAGGACACCGCCACUCCAGACCGAGGCUUCUUCCCGGGAGCGGCGCGCGGGCUCCGUGGGGAGCUCACCACGGUCUCGAGGAGGCUGCUCGCUGGCCCCUAGCCGCCGCGCGCUGCUGGAUCGAGGGCGCCCGCAGCAGCGGACCUUCCGGGAGCAGCGGCGCCAUUGUGAGCGCGGCUUCCCACGGGCCCCGCGGCCGGGAAGCCGCACAAAGGCGGCAAGGCGUCCGACACCCGCAGGCCAGACCCAGCGUUCUGAAGCACUGUAAACAAAAGGUUUCCACACACGAAGAACCAAGGUUAAUGGAUGUCCAGUCAUUUGCAGUAGCAGAAGCAGUCAUGACUCUGCUACUCUAUGGACUGUAGCCUCGCAGACUCCUCUGUCCAUGGGAUUUCCCAGGCAAGAAUAUUGGAGUGGGUUGCCAUUUCCUCCUCCAGGGCAACGAUGCCAUCUCCGUCGCCGGCAAAAACACACAAAGGAGGCCCCCACCCAGGCUCGAACCUGGGGGCACACUGGAGAGAGGGCUGGCGUGGACCCCGAGUCGGAGAGCCUCCCACCCCCACGGGGAGCAAUAGCUGCCGCCUCCCCGGGGCAGUGGGGCGGUCGCGCCGCACAAAGGCCGGCUCGGCUAGCGCCAUGUGACGCGCGCUCGACCCGCUCUCCCGGCGGCGCGGCGGACGGGUGCGUGUUCCGACCCACCUGAACACUUUCCGAAAGACAAACGCGGUUCCUCCUACUUCGGAGCAAGUCCGGGCCAGCUGGGAUCCGACCAGAAACCGCAAGCGGAGGAGACGCGGGUACGCAGGCUGAGGGUAACGGAGGGCGCGACCUGCCGCCCCGCGCUCUGCCGCGCCAGGCCCGAGGGUAGCGCCUCCCGGUCCUCCCCGCGCCAGGGACGGCAGCCGCCCAGCAGCCCCGCCCGUGGGCCAGGCAGGGCGCCGGGUGCCCGGAGC
Bos taurus (domestic cattle) is the source of this 1905-nucleotide long non-coding RNA. The record is from Ensembl. NCBI's taxonomy places the organism in Eukaryota, Metazoa, Chordata, Mammalia, Artiodactyla, Bovidae.